Molecule: ribosomal RNA, 799 nt
Filed under: uncultured bacterium
Lineage: Bacteria
Description: bacterial SSU rRNA
Rfam family: Bacterial small subunit ribosomal RNA
Source: RNAcentral
ACGCUGCGGCGGCCUAACACAUGCAAGUCGAACGGUAACAGGGGUAGCAAUACCUGCUGACGAGUGGCGCACGGGUGAGUAACGCGUAUGCAACCUGCCCUGUACUGGGGGAUAGCUCGGAGAAAUCCGGAUUAAUACCCCAUAAUAAUAUAGACAGGCAUCUGUUUAUGUUUAAAGUUCCGGCGGUACAGGAUGGGCAUGCGUGCCAUUAGUUAGUUGGUGAGGUAACGGCCUACCAAGGCGAAGACGGGUAGGGGGUGUGAGAGCAUGGCCCCCCACAAUGGGACUGAGAGACGGCCCAUACUCCUACGGGAGGCAGCAGCAGGGAAUAUUGCACAAUGGACGGAAGUCUGAUGCAGCGACGCCGCGUGGAUGAAGAAGGCCUUCGGGUUGUAAAAUCCUUUUCGGGGGGAAGAGAGAGGACGGUACCCUCGGAAUAAGCGUCGGCUAACUACGUGCCAGCAGCCGCGGUAAUACGUAGGACGCGAGCGUUAUCCGGAUUUACUGGGCGUAAAGCGUCUGUAGGCGGUGGCGUAAGUUGGGCGUGAAAGCUCCGGGCUUAACCCGGGAGAGGCCGUACAAUACUGCGCGACUAGAGGGCGUGAGAGGGGAGCGGAAUUUCCGGUGUAGCGGUAAAAUGCGCAGAUAUCGGGAGGAACACCAGUGGCGCAGGCGGCUCCCUGGUGCGCACCUGACGCUGAGAGACGAAAGCUAGGGGAGCAAACAGGAUCAGAGACCCUGGUAGUCCUAGCCCUAAACGAUGGAUGCUAGGUGUGGGGCCGAUAGGCUCUGUGCCGCA